Molecule: ribosomal RNA, 253 nt
Filed under: uncultured Hydrocarboniphaga sp.
Lineage: Bacteria; Pseudomonadati; Pseudomonadota; Gammaproteobacteria; Nevskiales; Nevskiaceae
Description: partial 16S ribosomal RNA
Rfam family: Bacterial small subunit ribosomal RNA
Source: RNAcentral
UACAGAGGGUGCGAGCGUUAAUCGGAUUUACUGGGCGUAAAGCGUGUGUAGGCGGUUCGUUAAGUCGGAUGUGAAAGCCCUGGGCUCAACCUAGGAAUUGCACUCGAUACUGGCGAGCUAGAGUACGGUAGAGGGCGGCGGAAUUCCGGGUGUAGCGGUGAAAUGCGUAGAUAUCCGGAGGAACACCGAUGGCGAAGGCAACCGCCUGGGCCUGUACUGACGCUGAGACACGAAAGCGUGGGGAGCAAACAGG